RNAcentral lists this transfer RNA (71 nucleotides) under Fimbriiglobus ruber. It matches the Rfam family "tRNA". From Rfam's summary of the family: Transfer RNA (tRNA) molecules are approximately 80 nucleotides in length. Their secondary structure includes four short double-helical elements and three loops (D, anti-codon, and T loops). Lineage: Bacteria; Pseudomonadati; Planctomycetota; Planctomycetia; Gemmatales; Gemmataceae. The record is from Rfam by way of RNAcentral.
AGGGGUGUGGUGUAACGGUAGCACGGCUGUUUCCAAAACUGCCUGCGUGGGUUCGAAUCCUGCCGCCCCUG